Molecule: transfer RNA, 73 nt
Rfam family: tRNA
About the family: Transfer RNA (tRNA) molecules are approximately 80 nucleotides in length. Their secondary structure includes four short double-helical elements and three loops (D, anti-codon, and T loops).
Source: Rfam
GGGCGCGUAGCUCAGCUGGGAGAGCACCUGCCUUACAAGCAGGGGGUCACAGGUUCGAGCCCUGUCGCGCCCA